CUGUUAGUGUAGAGCAGUUAAGUAUCAUAGCUGGCCGGGCGCACCCAGAAGAUGUCUCUAGCCCUCCAAACGGUAUUAGCAAGAGAGCCAAGGCAUAGCCUACAUACAGGGAGAUAGACACCGACAGGAAGGGAAAGAAGGGUGUCAAGUCUCUCUGCUAUGGCUGAUAAUCAAGCGGACGACGACGACGACGAAAGUUUCGGUGACUUCAAGUUUGUUUCUUUUCCAAAUCAGCCUUUUCAGAACAAUGGGAAAGGCCUCCCCGCCGAUGAUGACGAGUGGGGCGAUUUCAUGAACCAUUCCAAUCAGAUCAAUGGCGGAUCGGUCCACACAUCCAAUGGACUCUUCUCUUCUAACUUUCCCUCUAGCCCCUACAACACUUGUAAUUUUUUUGACCCGGUUCAGGUUUCCCAAGAUCUUACACAGAAAAACAGCUCACCGGCAAAAGAGAUCAAUCGGGUUGAGUUGGCGCCGACCCCGGCAGAGCCAGAAAAGCCCCGGUGGAAUAAGCCCCAGGGUGCCCUGCCGCUGUCAAUCUUUGGCGAGGAGGAGGUGGAGGAGGAACCCACCGCAGGCAAUCUUCCUUUUGGAGAUGAUGCCAAAGUACUCUCUAAAAAAAACAGUGAUUGCGUGAAGAAAGAAUCCGAUUCGAAUGGCGCCAUUAGAAUGAUUGAUUUAAUUGCGAAUUUGUAUAAUCAACGCCCUGAGAUGAAUUUUGACAACGGAUCGAUUUCAGUAUUAAGUGUGUCUGAUUUGAAUUUGCCCGGAGCAAGCUCUAAAGUCGUCAGCUCGGUAACGACUGUGGCUGCUUCCAAUGCAGACGCGAAUGGAUUAAACUCCAUUCUAAACAAUUUGAAUUCUGAUUCAGUGGAUGGAUUCGAGGACACUGGUGAUGACGACGGUGGAUGGGAAUUCAAGUGGGCAGAAUCUGAAAUCCGAACUGUGAGCAAUGAUACUAAGGUAGAACAGACAAAGCAUGAAACAACUAGUUCAGAUGAAUAUGCAUUCACCUUCAGCAAUGGUGUGCUUGGAGUUGAUGACAUGUUGGACUCAUCCAGCAGGAUUUCCCACAAAGCUGAUGAAUGGAACCUGGGAUUUGAGUUCAAUCCAAGUUCUGUCAUGCAAAAUCAUAUUCAAGUAUCAGAAUCAGGUUCAAAUCAUAAUUUGGAAGCUCCAAAGUUGGCUGCCACAGAUCCAGUUGGUGAGGAAGCAUCCUGUAAUCCUGAUGAUCGAUAUGUUGCACCAGAAUCUCAUCAGUUUGAUGACUUGAAUUUUGGCUCUAAUUUCUAUCCUAGUUCUCUGGGUGAAGUCCAUCAGACAUCAGUGUCAGAUUCUAAAAGAAAGCAGGAUGAUGACAACAGAAAUUUCAAUGCUUUCCCUGCAAAUUCUGAUGUUCAUUUUGAUGUAAAUUUGUUUCAAUCUAAGGAUGCAGUUUCGGAAGUUGGAACAGACCAGAAGAAGAGCCAAGUAAACUCAGAGAACUGUAGGGAAGCCUUGUCCCUCUCAAUAUUUGGUGACGAGACACCAGAUACUGAUGAGCAUUCUGUGUUUCAAGGUUUUUCUUCUGAUGCACCAGCAUCCUCUAUAAGGAAUAACUUUAAUAGCGCUGGUUCCAACUUAUCUAUCAGUGAUUUGAUAUGGAAUUUAUAUGGUCAAGCUGAACAAAAAACUUCUCAUGUCACACCAGAAGUAAGUGAAAAUGGUCAGGUAGAGCCGGACUCCAAUUUGGUUACUGGUGACGAUGAUUUUAAUGAUGACUCCUGGGAAUUUAAGGAUGCUUCACAUGGAACUAGAAGUCUUGAAUCUGUGGAGAACACUCAUUCUAAUCACAAACCACAAGUCAGUGAAAACGGGCUACAACCUUUACCUACAGUUUGGAAACCUGAUUUGAUUAAUGAGGAUGAAUCAUGGGAAUUUAAGGCUGCCCUCUGUUUAGCAGACAGCAAAUAUCAGGGAUCUGUUAUAGAUCACAAGGAUUUUCCUCUGCAGUCGUCAACAAAAGUAGAGCCACCUGAUUAUGUAGAUUUCUAUUGCAAAUUGACUGAUGAAUUGUGCAAUGCUGUCCUGUUCCAUCUCCAGAAUCUCAAGAAUUGUGAAAGCGUUGCUACACUUAAUGGUGAAGAAGCAAAAGCAAAGGCACUUCAGGAAGAAAUGCAGGAAUUAUUUGACAUGCUACAUCAGUACAAUGUCCUACUAAAUGAACAUAUUUCAGAGGAUCAAUCUACAAGAAAUGUGUGUCUUGACAAGCUUAUUGAAGUUUUGAAGGAACCUAGGUUUCAACCUCUUGAGUCAGAUUACAGGCUAACAUCAAGGUUGUCAAUGGCAGAGACAAAUAUACGAUCUGCUAUUGAACUCCUAAAAGAUGCGCUAUCAACGUUAAAAGUUCUCCAGUUGAGGUCAAGAGAAGAACAAUCUAGUUAUCUUACUAUGUGGUCCAAAAUAGCCUUGGUUUGUUCUGAGGAGCUCAAACAUGGUGCCUUCAUUUGGAACAAGUCAGCAGAGAGGAAUGUCCACGACCAAAUAUUAGCUAACCCAAAAGGCUAUCAGUAUAUUCAUGCACUUGGAGAAAUUUGUAGAGUGGCAGAAAUUGUUGGACUCUCAGCCAAACUUCACAAGCCAUGGAUGUUGUUGGGUUCUGCAGAUCCUGCUAGAUUGUUUGCUCUUUUGAAUGAGUCUUAUACCAUAUGGUCCGAUUCAGGACUUGAAGAUGCCCUUCUUCGUGUAUCCAAUCAAAGUAAUGUAGAGCAAGAAAGCAUUUCAAGGCAAUUGCUUGAAUCCAUCAAGUAUAUUCAUGAGCUUGACGAGCAAGAACUUCAGAGCUGCAUUAUCAGUGGAGAAGAAACUACUUGCCAGUUGUCAGCCUUACCUGCUGGUUUUAUACCAGGAUUGAAAAUGGUAACCUGGAACGGGAAGCAGUAUUUCCUCACGCUUGCAAACUUGUGGAUAAAUCUAGUGAAUUCAGAUUUUCCUUGUUGAGUCAGCGACGCCUGGCAACGUUUGUAUGCUGCCUAUAGCAAGGGGACUCUUCCAUCAGACUGUUCAAGUGCUGUUGAAGCUUUCUUGUGAAAAGAGUAGUGUAAGCGAGAUUUCGGCAGCAACCAGCUUUUUUCCCUGGUCGAAGCCUUCCGGAGCUCUCUCAGAUGUGUUGCUGGUCUGGAAUGAUUGAUUGUAUGGGGUGAAAUGUUGCGAGUCAAUUUUUGAAGUCCUCAGGAUCACAUUUGCAUGACUGCUUGUGCGAUCAGGCAAAGCUUCCGACCCAUCCUUUACUCUGAUAGGCGCUCCCAUUCCCAUGCUUAGAGAACCCAACAAAUUGCACAAGUCACGUUGAUGAAGGAUUAAUUAAGAUAUUCGCGAACGCUGAACGAAGACAGGCCAACAAGAUCACAUAGCGUCGUAGAUGGCAAGACGAAGACUAUGGGAGAUGCAUAGUGGGAAUUUUUCAUGUCUCCCUUCAGUUUAUUGAAUCUGUUCGGAGAGGAGCAACCCAAGACUAUGAUCUUGGCAUCAGAGCUAAAAUGAGUUCUAAAAUAUCGCCGUUUUACAAUAAUUUGUUUCCUUUUCUUGUAUUCAGUCUUUAGAGGAAGUGCCUCUUUGGAUAAUGUUUUUAAUCAAUUUUAGAGGUCAAAAUUAUGGUUUUGUAUAAA
Prosopis cineraria is the source of this 3644-nucleotide RNA transcript. RefSeq lists it as uncharacterized. The record is from RefSeq and is a predicted model, not a curated record. Lineage: Eukaryota; Viridiplantae; Streptophyta; Magnoliopsida; Fabales; Fabaceae. The transcript is spliced from 11 exons.